UGAUCUCGAACUUCUUGGCUCAAGUGAUCUGCCUGCCUUCCAAAGUGCUGGGAUUACAGGCAUGAGCCACCAAGCGCAGCCAUGAUUUAUUAGAUCACUUCUAAAAGCCCUCUCUCCAUCUCCAAGCCAGCAAGUGCUUCUUUGCACCCCAGCUCUAAAACAAAGCCCUUGGGGACACAAUCAAAGACAGUAGUUGCCAAGAGGAAUAGGGAGCAUGGAAAGAAGAAAUCAACUCUAAGGAAAGAAGUAGGCAGGAAACCUGUUGAAAGAAAAUGAAAGCAUUAUAUUUCAGCAAUUACUUAAAUCCUGCAAGAAGAUCAUGUUUGAUGGAAAGCAGUUGGUGUAGAUAACUGAAACUGCAGAAGAGAAAACUGUGAAUAAAAGGGAACAACUGUACCCUUACAACCACCACUGUAAUCAAGAGGUAUAACAGCUUCAUCAGUUCAACACUGAAACUGGACAUUGUAGAAGAUGAAUUAUGAGAGUGAUUUAUGAAAGAAAGACAGUGGAGAAUUGCAAUCGAUGGAGACAUUCAAAGAAAAGACUUUGGCACUACAUCAAAAGAGAGUAGAAUAAAUGACGAAACUAAAGCACAAAGAGAUUAAAGAACUUAUCCAAGGUCAUGCAGCUGGAAAGAAGUGGAUUUGGGAUUGUGAACAUCACAAUUUCACAAACUACAUUUCAUGAUGGGUAGAGCUAGUCAAACGUCUGAAAAUAAAGUUUGGUUUAAAGAUGACCAUCGUCUUGUUAAGAAAUUAUAUAAAUGAGUAUCACUAAAAAGUCUCUCUUUAAACUCACCAAGCACUCUUCACUAUGGACAAGAAAGUGUGAAUAUGGUUAUUUUUUAUUUAAUAUUUUCAUGAUGAUUAACUGAAGGAUCUGACAGUAAAUAGUCUUUGGGUCUUUUUAAACUAAAACUCCUGUUGUUGUUGAUAGCAAUUGAUGCAAUUGAUAGUAAUGUGCUGUAUCCCUCAGAUGUAUUCCAGCUGAAGAAGGUGGAGAGCCACUAAAAUUUAUUGUUCUAUGUCAUUUUUCCAAAUCAUCUUUUGAUGACUGUCCAUCUACAUAUUGCUCAGUGGCUUUAUAUUUAGAACAUUAUUUGGGAAAUUGUAAUUUCAAAUAUUUUAACCUAUAAAUAUUCAAUGAAGCCUUGGCAAUGAAGAGUAAGACUUUAUAAAACCUUGAAUAUAUGAAUAGCACAGUUCUGGUUAUCUAUGUAACAACAUCCCCCAUAGUAACCUAAAACAAUGACAUUACUAUAUCCCAUGAUUCUGUGGAUUGCCUGGGCUUAGGUGGUAAGUUCUCAGGGUGUUGCUCAUUGUCACACCCAGAUAGCAGCUAGAACUAGAGUCAUCUGCAAACUCCUUUUUCUUGUGUGGACCAUCCAAGGUAGGUUUCUCAUGCACAUAUCUAGUGCUUUGGUGCUUCUUGGCCUCUCUCUUUCCACAUUGUAUCUCAUCUUCCUGGCCUCUCCACAUGGCUUGGGCUUCUUGUUGCAUGGUGUUACGAGGUACUCACACUGCUAACACAGUAGCUGACUUUCAAGAUACACAAAUUGGACCCUUUUAGACCAAUUAAGGGCUAUGGUGAAACUGGAGCAGUAUCACUCUCAUUGUAUUCUAUUGGCCAAAGUAGCAGAGGGCCUGAUCAGACCCAAAGAGGUAGAGAAAUAGAUUCUACUUCUCAAUGGGGGAGUACCAAGUUCAUAUUGCACAAGGGGAUGUAGAAUGGGAACUAUUGUUGUUAUCAUUAGGUAAUACAGUCUGCCUAAAGUACUAUAUCACCUAAUUAGACUUGCUUUGCACAUGAUGACCAGGAGGAAACAAGAUACUGUUUUGGAAUGUACUCACUAAGCAGCUGCCUAGAUGCUGCUUACCUAACAAGUGCCUUGUUUCCACUCAAGGUCAUGGAUCUUUGGGAGUCUAAUAAGAGUGAUGAAAAAUUAUUCAUAGGUCUCCUUCCUUUACUAUACAAUCCUCGCUGCUAAGAGAAAGAUGGGCAAAGGACCUGGGAUGGAUAUCUUUGUGAAUCUAUCAAUAAUGGAUAAAAUAUCUCAUUUGUCUGCUUUCCUUAUUAUCUAAUUCUUCCCUCUUAGAGGAGUCUGAGCAAAGGAGCCUAGACUGGGUGUAUGGUGGAGAGUCAGUAACUAGGAGUAGAAUCUAAAUCAAAUCAAUAGUGUCCUAGUUAACCAAAUCAAAGAGUAAAUGUACAGAAACACAGGAAACCAUGCAGGGUAAUCAAGACUAAAAUUCUGGGUUAUAAGGAACAGCCUAAAACAAUUCUGAGUUGCAAAAUAAAUGGCACCAAUAAUCUUAUACUAAAUUUCAGAAUGUUAGGAUAGGCCUUAUUCUGCUUAAGAUCAGAAUUGGUUCAAGAUACUGGGUUGGAGUUGAACUAGAAGGUUGUAGGUUGGUAGCCCCAGCUAGAAGGAGAGGCCUAGGAGGAUGCCAAGGAGUAAUUGGUAAGUUGCAAAUGUUGAGUUCCUACCAUGGACUUCUGCAGCAAUUGGUGACUGAUUUGUUAGAUGUUGCAGAGAGACUCAAAACAACUAUCAAUCAUCCUGUUAAUUAAAAAUAUUCAUUGGAUUU
Molecule: long non-coding RNA, 2588 nt
Filed under: Homo sapiens (human)
Lineage: Eukaryota; Metazoa; Chordata; Mammalia; Primates; Hominidae
Description: HSALNT0376649
Source: RNAcentral